CACGUAGGGGGCAAGCGUUGUUCGGAUUCAUUGGGCGUAAAGGGUGCGUAGGCGGCGCGGUAAGUCGGGUGUGAAAUCUCGGGGCUUAACUCCGAAACUGCAUUCGAUACUGCCGUGCUUGAGGACUGGAGAGGAGACUGGAAUUUACGGUGUAGCGGUGAAAUGCGUAGAUAUCGUAAGGAAGACCAGUGGCGAAGGCGGGUCUCUGGACAGUUCCUGACGCUGAGGCACGAAGGCCAGGGGAGCAAACGGG
This 253-nucleotide ribosomal RNA is filed under the name uncultured bacterium. Its description in RNAcentral is "partial 16S ribosomal RNA". It matches the Rfam family "Bacterial small subunit ribosomal RNA", at positions 524 to 776 of the family's 1533-position model. The record is from RNAcentral.